This 204-nucleotide long non-coding RNA is filed under the name Homo sapiens (human). Its description in RNAcentral is "HSALNT0008240". The record is from RNAcentral. Lineage: Eukaryota; Metazoa; Chordata; Mammalia; Primates; Hominidae.
AAGAAAAAUAGACAAGGGGCAUCCAUGCCGGAAUCAUUUAUCUUUCAAAUCUUCAUAGGAUGUACUUUUAACUCUUGGAUCAGAACAGCAUGCCUGGGACUGGUCUUCAUGUAAGAAGCGGAGGGAAUUCCAGAUUGAAUUGAAGGACACCAGACAGGGAUCUGUGAUCAACGAUCUCCGAUGUUUCUGUGGUAAUUGUUUUGG